Molecule: ribosomal RNA, 468 nt
Filed under: uncultured bacterium
Lineage: Bacteria
Description: partial 16S ribosomal RNA
Rfam family: Bacterial small subunit ribosomal RNA
Source: RNAcentral
GACGAACGCUGGCGGCGCGCUUAACACAUGCAAGUCGAACGGAAAGGCCCUGCUUGCAGGGUGCUCGAGUGGCGAACGGGUGAGUAACACGUGGGUGAUCUGCCCCUUACUUUGGGAUAAGCCUGGGAAACUGGGUCUAAUACUGGAUAGGACCAUGCUGUAGGUGGUGUGGUGGAAAGAUUAGUUUCGGUAAGGGAUGAGCUCGCGGCCUAUCAGCUUGUUGGUGGGGUAAUGGCCUACCAAGGCGUCGACGGGUAGCCGGCCUGAGAGGGGGGACGGCAAAUUGGGGAUGGAGAACCGGCCGGGCCCCCGAGGGGGGCAGGAAGGGGGGAUGUUGGAAAAUGGGGGGCAGCCUGAAUGCGGCGCGGCCGCGGGGGGGAGGCGGGCUUUGGGGUGUAAACCCCCUUGCAGCCAUGACAAACCCUUUGUGGGGCGGUUGGUGGUAGAAGAACCCGCGCCUACCUACGG